RNAcentral lists this ribosomal RNA (402 nucleotides) under uncultured bacterium. RNAcentral's name for it is "bacterial SSU rRNA". It matches the Rfam family "Bacterial small subunit ribosomal RNA", at positions 355 to 774 of the family's 1533-position model. The record is from RNAcentral.
UCGGGAAUUUUGGGCAAUGGGCGAAAGCCUGACCCAGCAACGCCGCGUGAGGGAUGAAGUAUUUCGGUAUGUAAACCUCGAAAGAAUGGGAAGAAUAAAUGACGGUACCAUUUAUAAGCUCCGGCUAACUACGUGCCAGCAGCCGCGGUAAUACGUAGGGAGCAAGCGUUGUUCGGAUUUACUGGGCGUAAAGGGCGCGUAGGCGGCGCGGUAAGUCACUUGUGAAAUCUCUGAGCUUAACUCAGAACGGCCAAGUGAUACUGCUGUGUUAGAGUGCGGAAGAGGCUACCGGAAUUCUUGGUGUAGCGGUGAAAUGCGUAGAUAUCAAGAGGAACACCUGAGGCGAAGGCGGGUUGCUGGGCCGACACUGACGCUGAUGCGCGAAAGCCAGGGGAGCAAACG